CAGCAGCCGCGGUAAUACAGAGGGUGCGAGCGUUAAUCGGAUUUACUGGGCGUAAAGCGUGCGUAGGCGGCUUCUUAAGUCGGAUGUGAAAUCCCUGAGCUUAACUUAGGAAUUGCAUUCGAUACUGGGAAGCUAGAGUAUGGGAGAGGAUGGUAGAAUUCCAGGUGUAGCGGUGAAAUGCGUAGAGAUCUGGAGGAAUACCGAUGGCGAAGGCAGCCAUCUGGCCUAAUACUGACGCUGAGGUACGAAAGCAUGGGGAGCAAACAGGAUUAGAUACCCCCGUAGUCCUGUCUCUUAUACA
Molecule: ribosomal RNA, 301 nt
Filed under: uncultured bacterium
Lineage: Bacteria
Description: partial 16S ribosomal RNA
Rfam family: Bacterial small subunit ribosomal RNA
Source: RNAcentral